RNAcentral lists this long non-coding RNA (3697 nucleotides) under Ananas comosus (pineapple). Its description in RNAcentral is "long non-coding RNA (ACOM_LNC016467)". Lineage: Eukaryota; Viridiplantae; Streptophyta; Magnoliopsida; Poales; Bromeliaceae. The record is from RNAcentral.
AACAAAGUUAAUCUGAUGCAUAAAUACUAAGUCCUAUACUCUUUUCGCAUCAUGCAUUUAGCUUAGAUGCAUAUAAUGUGUAUUUUGCUGCAUUUAUCAACUACUUUUCCAUCGCAUAUUUCAGGCCCACUAUCUAUUGAGUUAUCAUAUAUUCUCAAUAUAAAAAUUGGAAAUAUUCUAAAGGACUUAUGUGAAUGUUAGUGUGAAGCAAAUCUAUGUGCAAAUCUAUGUACUAGAUUUCUUCGUAAGGUGUUCUAAUGCAUGAGUAGCUGUGCUGUUUAAUAAAAUUGUUAAUAUUCUUGUAAAAUUGAUCAAUGCCAAAAACCUCCUCUGAUUAUUUUUAGAUCCAAUUUCAUUGUUCCUUCUUUUUCCUAGCAUUUCUUGGAAAAUGGUAGACUCCAAAGCAGCCUACAGGGUGGAGGUAAAACUCAUUGCUGCUUCACAUCUCUAUGCAUCAAAUUGAAACUUCCCAAGUUUGCUAUUUUCUUGUUUAUCCUGGGGCAUUUUCUUUGGUAUGCUAUAUAUUAUUAUAUAGAGAUUAAUCCAUGAAACACUAGAUGAUAAUUUUAAGAAUUGUAAUGGAAUUGAUUGGUACUUACACUGUGACAUGAUUUCCAAUAGAAGAUGUAAUUUACCUGUGGGCCAUAGCUACUAUACAUUGGUACAAGAAUAGCAAGGAGCAGUGCAAGUUUGAUUUAUACAUUAUCCUGUUUUCAGGACCAAAUUGUUGAGAUCAAGCUCCGCGAGAGAUCAGGCGUUUAGCAUGAGCAGCGCCCAGGAGAGGUUUCGCAACUUCCGGUUGCAGGUUGGUUGCGUUUCGAACCCCGAAUUGGCCAUCUUCUUGUAUGAGAAUCUUUUAUUUGGAUUAUGGUGGAUGUGCUGAGAUGAGGAUUUAAUGUUUUUUAUAGUGUUUAAUGAUAAUUUCUGUUAGUUGAACACUUGUGGUAAGGCGGUGUGGAUCUUCGGAUUGAUAAAAGAUGGAAACCAGGGAAUUAAGAAUCUUGCAGAUGUAAAUUGUCUACAGAGGGUAGAGAGUGGGGGAUAAAGUAACAUAGAAUCGAAUAAAGAUAGCAUCUUGAUAAUCUAGAAUAACCACAAUUUCAUAAAGUUCUUAUGUUGUGCUUGUUUUAUGGCAUAGUCUAUCGUAGGAUUUCGAUGAGUUUGUUGAAACUAUGUCAUGCACGGCUCAGUCUUUUCUUUUAAUUGAACGAGGAGAGAAUCAUAUUUGAUGACAUUAGAACUGCUUAUCUGGUAAAAUUAUGUAGCUCUCUGUUAUCAAAUUUGAAAGCAUUCUUGUGUUGAAACCGUCAGGCACUAACUGAAACAACAGGUCUAUAGGGGAUAAGAAAUUUCAUUUUCCUAUUUUGUUAUGUUUUGCUUGCUAAAUGACUUCUUGUUUGGUAAAAUAUGAGUAAUUCUCAUGGCAUUAAGGAGUUUAUAGAGGAUAUAAUACAGGCGUGAACUAAAUACUGGACAUUUUGAUAUGUCAUAUUCAGGCAUUCAUAUAUAUACCAUGUCCUUUUAGAUUCUUUCUAAAUGGUUUUAGAUAGACAUAGAAGUGAAUAUCUUAGCAUUUCUAGAUAACAGCUUGUACUCAUGUUUUGAUUGGAAGCAAAAAUUUUAAACAUUGAAGUUUUUUGUAUUGAAUGUUGGGUUCUUUUUCGUGACAAAAUUUUAAAAAACACCGUGAUCACAAAAGAUAAUAUGAGAGUGUGAUAUUGCUUCUAGGAAGUCUAAUUUUCGUUUUUUGUUAAUAUCUUUAAGUAGGGGAUUGCAGAAGUGAGGAAGUAGGUUUAAUCAUGGUUUGUGGCCAAUUCUUCAUAUUUCUUCUUUACUGUAAGUGUGAAAUCUACUUCCUCAUGCUUCUGCAUUCCAUUGUCUUUUUACUUUCCGUCACUGCGGCUUUCUUCUUUAUUACAUAAUCAUUUUUUCGUAUCUGCUACUGUUAUUUUGUUUCAGAAGUUUUCAUUUUUACUUUAGUUUAGCUCUCAAACUGAUAAUAUAAGGCCACCAGUUUUGUUAUUUUGACUAGCGUAAAUUCGAUUCAUGCUAUACUAUACAUUUAUGUUAUUUUAUCACUUAACGAGAUGUAUCCUAUAAUCUAGCAGAUUUUUAUUGUUGUGACUAUGCUUUGUUGACUUAUGUUCUAGGAAUAGCAGGUCCACUACAAGGUCAGCCACAGUUAUUCAUCUCUCAUUCUGCACAAUUCAUAUAGGGUGGUGGUUCAAAGCGAGCAACUGGUUGAGAGGAGCUGCGUUAUGAGCGACAUUUUGUAGUUGAAACUCAUGUAUGAAAUUUAUUAUUUUUUGGCUGGAAUUCAAACAAGCAUUUUGUUGUUGAAACUUAUGUAUGAAAUUUAUUUUUAAUAUUGAAACUGUAAUUUAUCGCAAAUCAUGAUUGCUCUUUGAUAAUGAAUGUUUUCUAAUUUUAAUUUAUUGGAAUAUUUAAUUGUGGAUCAAGCGUUUUAAUAUAUAUUGCAAUUGCCGCUAUAAGUCUUAUUUAGUAAUUAUUUAGUAUACUUUUAGUGGCGAUUAUCAUUAAUUAUAAUGACAUUUAUAAUUGUUGUUAUUGGAUAGGAUUUAGCGGCAUUUGUUUAGACUUUUACCAACCGUCCAAACAAAUGCCAUUAUAACUUUUACCGACCCCACCAUUAGUGGCAAUUACUACAAUUGUCACUAAAUUAUUUAGCGACAAUUAUAAUUGUCGGGAUUUUAGAAAAUAAUCACCACUAAAACUUAGUUUUGUUGUAGUGUCCAUCUAAGUGCGCACCCUAUUCCUACAAUGAACCUAUUGCAGCCAACAUGCACCGCAAGGACCCGAAUGCCUAGGGAUCAACUGUAUGUACAGUCAAACUACAGUAACCUCAUUAUGAAUAGCUGAGACACCGCAGGUCAAAGGACCAGUCACACUACUACAACAUUGAGUAAGUCACUGACGAGUGAGUAGACAUUCAAGUAACUUCUCGCGUUGGUUACGCUUAGUACCCUUGUUCUCUAACAACUACUUGCAUAUUCGCUUCAAUGUCCCCACACUGUCGACUCAAGACUGGUCUACCCAAAAAUGGAAGCGACCUAUGCAUCAAUCUCAUCGGAUCAAUCACCGUCUCUGUGAUGAUUCAUUGAUCGGGAGCAUUUAGGAAUUAAUCACCAAUGACACGUCUCAAAUUCUCAACUCUUGAGAAUAUAUGUCAUCAUCUUAUUAAUUUAUUGGAUGAUUUAUGGACACAUACACAAUAUAAAUGAAAAUAAGAACCCAAAUUUAUUUAUAAUAUUUUAAAGUCAAAUACAAAUUUAUGUUCUAGAAAAAUACAUGUGUCGGCCUGGUUAGUUUCUAAGGCAUACAUUUAACAAUCUCCCACUNAUUGAGUUAUCAUAUAUUCUCAAUAUAAAAAUUGGAAAUAUUCUAAAGGACUUAUGUGAAUGUUAGUGUGAAGCAAAUCUAUGUGCAAAUCUAUGUACUGGAUUUCUUCGUAAGGUGUUCUAAUGCAUGAGUAGUUGUGCUGUUUAAUAAAAUUGUUAAUAUUCUUGUAAAAUUGAUCAAUGCCAAAAACCUCCUCUGAUUAUUUUUAGAUCCAAUUUCAUUGUUCCUUCUUUUUCCUAGCAUUUCUUGGAAAAUGGUAGACUCCAAAGCAGCCUACAGGGUGGAGGUAAAACUCAUUGCUGCUUCACAUCUCUAUGCAUCAAAUGGAAACUUCUCA